UUUAAUUCGAUGAUACGCGAGGAACCUUACCUGGGCUCAAAUAGUAUGUUGACGUAUUCUGAAAGGGAUACUUCUUCGGACAAUAUACAAGGUGCUGCAUGGUUGUCGUCAGCUCGUGCCGUGAGGUGUCGGGUUAAGUCCCAUAACGAGCGCAACCCCCAUCAUUAGUUGCCAUCAGGUCAAGCUGGGGACUCUAAUGAAACUGCCUACGCAAGUAGUGAGGAAGUGGGGAUGACGUCAAAUCAGCACGGCCCUUACGUCCAGGGCUACACACGUGCUACAAUGGCCGGUACAAAGGGCAGCUACCUGGUGACAGGAUGCUAAUCUCAAAAGCCGGUCUCAGUUCGGAUCGGAGUCUGCAACCCGACUCCGUGAAGCUGGAAUCGCUAGUAAUCACGCAUCAGCCAUGGCGCGGUGAAUACGUUCCCGGGCCUU
RNAcentral lists this ribosomal RNA (435 nucleotides) under uncultured Sphingobacteriales bacterium. RNAcentral describes it as "bacterial SSU rRNA". It matches the Rfam family "Bacterial small subunit ribosomal RNA", at positions 945 to 1382 of the family's 1533-position model. The record is from RNAcentral. Lineage: Bacteria; Pseudomonadati; Bacteroidota; Sphingobacteriia; Sphingobacteriales.